This 1358-nucleotide ribosomal RNA is filed under the name uncultured bacterium. Its description in RNAcentral is "bacterial SSU rRNA". It matches the Rfam family "Bacterial small subunit ribosomal RNA", at positions 45 to 1400 of the family's 1533-position model. The record is from RNAcentral.
UGCUUAAUACAUGCAAGUCGAACGGUAACAGGCCCUUCGGGGCGCUGACGAGUGGCGGACGGGUGAGUAAUGCUUAGGAAUCUGCCUAGUAGUGGGGGAUAACCCGGGGAAACUCGGGCUAAUACCGCAUACGCCCUACGGGGGAAAGCGGGGGACUUUCGGGCCUCGCGCUAUUAGAUGAGCCUAAGUCCGAUUAGCUAGUUGGUAGGGUAAUGGCCUACCAAGGCGACGAUCGGUAGCUGGUCUGAGAGGACGACCAGCCACACUGGGACUGAGACACGGCCCAGACUCCUACGGGAGGCAGCAGUGGGGAAUAUUGGACAAUGGGCGCAAGCCUGAUCCAGCGAUGCCGCGUGUGUGAAGAAGGCCUGCGGGUUGUAAAGCACUUUCAGUAGGGAAGAAAAGCCGAGCGCUAAUAUCACCCGGUCUUGACGUUACUUACAGAAGAAGCACCGGCUAACUACGUGCCAGCAGCCGCGGUAAUACGUAGGGUGCGAGCGUUAAUCGGAAUUACUGGGCGUAAAGCGUGCGCAGGCGGUGGCACAAGUCAGGUGUGAAAUCCCCGAGCUUAACUUGGGAAUUGCAUUUGAAACUAGGUCGCUAGAGUUUGGAAGAGGGGGGUAGAAUUCCACGUGUAGCAGUGAAAUGCGUAGAGAUGUGGAGGAAUACCGAUGGCGAAGGCAGCCCCCUGGGCUAAAACUGACGCUCAUGCACGAAAGCGUGGGGAGCAAACAGGAUUAGAUACCCUGGUAGUCCACGCCCUAAACGAUGCCAACUAGUUGUCGGGAGAGCAAUCUCUUGGUAACGCAGCUAACGCGUGAAGUUGGCCGCCUGGGGAGUACGGUCGCAAGAUUAAAACUCAAAGGAAUUGACGGGGACCCGCACAAGCGGUGGAUUAUGUGGAUUAAUUCGAUGCAACGCGAAAAACCUUACCUACCCUUGACAUGUACCGAACCCCGACGAGAGUUGGGGGUGCCCGAAAGGGAGCGGUAACACAGGUGCUGCAUGGCUGUCGUCAGCUCGUGUCGUGAGAUGUUGGGUUAAGUCCCGCAACGAGCGCAACCCUUGUCAUUAGUUGCUACAUUCAGUUGGGCACUCUAAUGAGACUGCCGGUGACAAACCGGGGGAAGGUGGGGAUGACGUCAAGUCCUCAUGGCCUUUAUGGGUAGGGCCUCACACGUAAUACAAUGGCCGGUACAGAGGGUUGCCAACUCGCAAGAGGGAGCCAAUCUCAGAAAGCCGGUCGUAGUCCGGAUUGUUCUCUGCAACUCGAGAGCAUGAAGUCGGAAUCGCUAGUAAUCGCGGAUCAGCAUGUCGCGGUGAAUACGUUCCCGGGUCUUGCACACACCGCCCGUCAC